Molecule: ribosomal RNA, 887 nt
Filed under: Microbacterium sp.
Lineage: Bacteria; Bacillati; Actinomycetota; Actinomycetes; Micrococcales; Microbacteriaceae
Description: bacterial SSU rRNA
Rfam family: Bacterial small subunit ribosomal RNA
Source: RNAcentral
GUGGCAUCGCGGGUGCUUACCAUGCAAGUCGAACGGUGAAGCCCAGCUUGCUGGGUGGAUCAGUGGCGAACGGGUGAGUAACCCGUGAGCAACCUGCCCCUGACUCUGGGAUAAGCGCUGGAAACGGCGUCUAAUACUGGAUAUGUGACGUGACCGCAUGGUCUGCGUCUGGAAAGAAUUUCGGUUGGGGAUGGGCUCGCGGCCUAUCAGCUUGUUGGUGAGGUAAUGGCUCACCAAGGCGUCGACGGGUAGCCGGCCUGAGAGGGUGACCGGCCACACUGGGACUGAGACACGGCCCAGACUCCUACGGGAGGCAGCAGUGGGGAAUAUUGCACAAUGGGCGCAAGCCUGAUGCAGCAACGCCGCGUGAGGGACGACGGCCUUCGGGUUGUAAACCUCUUUUAGCAGGGAAGAAGCGAAAGUGACGGUACCUGCAGAAAAAGCGCCGGCUAACUACGUGCCAGCAGCCGCGGUAAUACGUAGGGCGCAAGCGUUAUCCGGAAUUAUUGGGCGUAAAGAGCUCGUAGGCGGUUUGUCGCGUCUGCUGUGAAAUCCGGAGGCUCAACCUCCGGCCUGCAGUGGGUACGGGCAGACUAGAGUGCGGUAGGGGAGAUUGGAAUUCCUGGUGUAGCGGUGGAAUGCGCAGAUAUCAGGAGGAACACCGAUGGCGAAGGCAGAUCUCUGGGCCGUAACUGACGCUGAGGAGCGAAAGGGGUGGGGGAGCAAAACAGGCUUAGAUACCCUGGUAGUCCACCCCGUAAAACGUUGGGAACUAGUUGUGGGGGUCCAUUCCACGGGAUUCCGUGACGCAACUAACGCAUUAAGUUCCUCCGCCCGGGGGGAGUCGGCUCGCAAGGCUAAACUCAAAGGAAUUUGACGUGGGACCC